This 628-nucleotide ribosomal RNA is filed under the name uncultured marine bacterium. Its description in RNAcentral is "bacterial SSU rRNA". It matches the Rfam family "Bacterial small subunit ribosomal RNA", at positions 64 to 689 of the family's 1533-position model. The record is from RNAcentral.
GUGCGAGAAGUAUCUUCGGAUAUGAGUAGAGCGGCGGACGGGUGAGUAACGCGUAGGAAUCUACCUAGUAGAAGGGGAUAGCCCGAGGAAACUCGGAUUAAUACCGUAUACCUCCUUAGGGAGAAAGAGGGCCUCUCUUGAUGCUCUCGCUAUUAGAUGAGCCUGCGUAAGAUUAGCUUGUUGGUGAGGUAAUGGCUCACCAAGGCUACGAUCUUUAGCUGGUCUGAGAGGACGAUCAGCCACAUUGGGACUGAGACACGGCCCAGACUCCUACGGGAGGCAGCAGUAGGGAAUAUUGGACAAUGGGCGCAAGCCUGAUCCAGCCAUACCGCGUGUGUGAAGAAGGCCUUCGGGUUGUAAAGCACUUUAAGCAGGGAGAAAAAGCUAUAAGUUAAUACCUUAUAGCCCUGAUGUUACCUGCAGAAUAAGCACCGGCUAAUUCCGUGCCAGCAGCCGCGGUAAUACGGAAGGUGCAAGCGUUAAUCGGAAUUACUGGGCGUAAAGCGCGCGUAGGUGGUUUGUUAAGUUGGAUGUGAAAGCCCUGGGCUCAACCAAGGAACUGCAUCCAAAACUAACUCACUAGAGUACGAUAGAGGGAGGUAGAAUUCAUAGUGUAGCGGUGGAAUGC